Molecule: transfer RNA, 69 nt
Filed under: Felis catus (domestic cat)
Lineage: Eukaryota; Metazoa; Chordata; Mammalia; Carnivora; Felidae
Rfam family: tRNA
About the family: Transfer RNA (tRNA) molecules are approximately 80 nucleotides in length. Their secondary structure includes four short double-helical elements and three loops (D, anti-codon, and T loops). Further hydrogen bonds mediate the characteristic L-shaped molecular structure. tRNAs have two regions of fundamental functional importance: the anti-codon, which is responsible for specific mRNA codon recognition, and the 3' end, to which the tRNAs corresponding amino acid is attached (by aminoacyl-tRNA synthetases). tRNAs cope with the degeneracy of the genetic code in two manners: having more than one tRNA (with a specific anti-codon) for a particular amino acid; and 'wobble' base-pairing, i.e. permitting non-standard base-pairing at the 3rd anti-codon position.
Source: Rfam by way of RNAcentral
GCCUGGCUAGCUUAGUAGAGCAUCAGACUCUUGGUCUGAGGGUCGUGAGUUCAAGCCCCACGGUGGGUA